GUCGGCAGGGGAGGAAGAGAGGACCUGGGGCAACGCUCCGGCUCUCACGAGGGUGAACUCUAGCCCUGGAGCUACGGGCUAGAGUUCACUCUCACCACUUCCUGGUGGUCCCAGUAGUAGGAGUGAACUCUAGCCCCAUACACACACUGCCCCACACACACACCAUACACAUUCACACACUGCCCACACACACACACACCAUACACAUUUACACACUGCCCACCCACACACUGAACCUUUCACACACAU
Molecule: non-coding RNA, 249 nt
Organism: Pelobates cultripes (western spadefoot toad)
Lineage: Eukaryota; Metazoa; Chordata; Amphibia; Anura; Pelobatidae
Source: the annotation of a GenBank genome assembly